Molecule: unclassified non-coding RNA, 330 nt
Filed under: Hevea brasiliensis (rubber tree)
Lineage: Eukaryota; Viridiplantae; Streptophyta; Magnoliopsida; Malpighiales; Euphorbiaceae
Source: RNAcentral
UUCUUUUGGUACAGCAAAGCCCUGCAAAACCAGAAGAACUUGGGAGGAAUGUUACAUAAUUUACAUACAAAGCAAUAAUAAGAUGAGCUCAAGGCACAUACAUGGAUGGAAUUAAAAACACAAAUUUUAUUCGAAAUGGUGUAUUCCGUGUAGGUCAUUUGAAAUUCAAUAUCCCAAGUUCAAAAAACUACUUCAUAAUUCACAUUCAUUUGUCAUACAACCACUCUACACCAUAAAUAAAUUACGUCCACAUGCUUGAUUCAUUUAUCAGCGAAAUUUAAAAAAAAAAAAGAGCAGAAAAAUUUAGAUUCAAUUAGUCCAAAAUAGGAC